Phodopus roborovskii (desert hamster) is the source of this 577-nucleotide non-coding RNA. The record is from the annotation of a RefSeq genome assembly. NCBI's taxonomy places the organism in Eukaryota, Metazoa, Chordata, Mammalia, Rodentia, Cricetidae.
AUGGAGUUGGGGUUGCACUGGGUUUUCUUUGUUGCUCUUUUAAAAGGUGUCCACUGUGAGGUGCAGCUGGUUGAGUCCGGUGGAGGAUUAGUGAAGCCUGAGGGGUCAUUGAAACUCUCCUGUGCAGCCUCUGGAUUCACUUUCAUGGACUAUGCCAUGUACUGGGUCCGCCAGGCUCCAGGGAAGGGACUGGAGUGGGUUGCUCGCAUAAGAACUAAACCCAAUAAUUACGCAGCCUAUUAUGCAGAUUCGGUGAAAGGCAGAUUCACCAUCUCCAGAGAUGAUUCCCAAAGCAUGGUCUACCUGCAAAUGAACUACCUGAGAACUGAGGAUACGGCCACAUAUUACUGUGCAAGAGACACAUUGAGGAGUUUCCAGUGUGAGCCCAGACAUAAACCUCCUUUCCGGUACCAAAGUCAGCAGGGGGAGCACAGUGUCCAUAAAGCCCAAGUUAAGACAUAACAGGGCCUUCCCCUCACACUUGGUCUUGCUUGGCCCGAUGUUCCGGGUGAGCAGUAGGCCAGAGUGCUGGUUCAACAUCCCCUCCAGCUCUGUGGAACUUCCUGGGUCUGCCUGA